CCUACGGGAGGCUGCAGUGGGGAAUAUUGGACAAUGGGGGGAACCCUGAUCCAGCCAUGCCGCGUGUGUGAAGAAGGCCCUCGGGUUGUAAAGCACUUUCAGUGAGGAAGAACGCCUGGUGGUUAAUACCCAUCAGGAAAGACAUCACUCACAGAAGAAGCACCGGCUAACUCCGUGCCAGCAGCCGCGGUAAUACGGAGGGUGCGAGCGUUAAUCGGAAUUACUGGGCGUAAAGCGCGCGUAGGUGGCUUGAUAAGCCGGUUGUGAAAGCCCCGGGCUCAACCUGGGAACGGCAUCCGGAACUGUCAAGCUAGAGUGCAGGAGAGGAAGGUAGAAUUCCCGGUGUAGCGGUGAAAUGCGUAGAGAUCGGGAGGGAUACCAGUGGCGAAGGCGGCCUUCUGGACUGACACUGACACUGAGGUGCGAAAGCGUGGGUAGCAAACAGGAUUAGAUACCCGUGUAGUC
This 465-nucleotide ribosomal RNA is filed under the name Vreelandella stevensii. Its description in RNAcentral is "partial 16S ribosomal RNA". It matches the Rfam family "Bacterial small subunit ribosomal RNA", at positions 338 to 795 of the family's 1533-position model. The record is from RNAcentral. Lineage: Bacteria; Pseudomonadati; Pseudomonadota; Gammaproteobacteria; Oceanospirillales; Halomonadaceae.